Molecule: ribosomal RNA, 497 nt
Filed under: uncultured bacterium
Lineage: Bacteria
Description: partial 16S ribosomal RNA
Rfam family: Bacterial small subunit ribosomal RNA
Source: RNAcentral
GAUGAACGCUGGCGGCGUGCCUAAUACAUGCAAGUCGAGCGAACAGACGAGGAGCUUGCUCCUCUGACGUUAGCGGCGGACGGGUGAGUAACACGUGGAUAACCUACCUAUAAGACUGGGAUAACUUCGGGAAACCGGAGCUAAUACCGGAUAAUAUAUUGAACCGCACGGUUCAAUAGUGAAAGACGGUUUUGCUGUCACUUAUAGAUGGAUCCGCGCCGCAUUAGCUAGUUGGUAAGGUAACGGCUUACCAAGGCAACGAUGCGUAGCCGACCUGAGAGGGUGAUCGGCCACACUGGAACUGAGACACGGUCCAGACUCCUACGGGAGGCAGCAGUAGGGAAUCCUCCGCAAUGGGCGAAAGCCUGACGGAGCAACGCCGCGUGAGUGAUGAAGGUCUUCGGAUCGUAAAACUCUGUUAUUAGGGAAGAACAAAUGUGUAAGUAACUAUGCACGUCUUGACGGUACCUAAUCAGAAAGCCACGGCUAACUACGUG